AUUGCAGCUGAAUUUUGUCAAACUUAGAGCAGGAUUUUGCAGCAAGAGAUAUCUCUGACAACCACUGUGCAAUCAUCUCAACGAUAAAAAUUUAGUGUAAAAUUUUGUCAAACUGAAUCUUUCUCAACAGAUUUAGUUAUUUUGCUAAAAAAUCAGUUUUGUAUCCUGCUCUGAAUAUAAAGUGUACUGCUUAUUGCAAGCAAGUUUAAAAUUUCAGUCUAAAAGUCGGUUAACUGAAUUUUGACACAAUAGUUAACUGAAUUUACUGUCAUCCCUAUCAAAUGCAGUUUAUCCGUUCGUCCUGCUUCUCACUUUCUUCUAUGUUUUCUAAGAAAAAAUUAACUUCCUUCUGUAGUUAUUCACAUGAUAUAUGUGCCAACUUCCUUUCACAAAAUCUUGCCAUCUUGACCAACAUUUUGACAGACUUACUGCUAAUCUAGAGCCACAUGAGACUUUGUUGGGUUAGUUAUUUUUCGCACCAACCAACAAUGCAUAGAAAUCUGCUAGAUUACCCAAGUCCAUAGCAAAGGAGGAAGAAAGUGAAAUGUGAGGCUGAUCAACUUAUCCAUCAGCUAGAUAACCCCAAGUGUAACUGGGUUCAGGGCCUGUACUUGCUUACCGAUGGAAAAGGACAAAUAAUUGGAUUGCUGUUUUCAACAAUGGGUGUUGAUGUUUGCAUGAUCAGUGUUAGUCCAAGGUUGUAACAAAAUUUCUCACUAUGGAGUCCUUGCUUGACGAGAGCGUUGACAAGGAGAUAAAUUUGCAGAUCGAAUGAGGUGGAACUCCUUUAACAGUAACGGUGAAGGUAGUUUGCAAGCUUGCCAUGUCUUGUUUAAUCUUCAUACCAGAGAGCAGUAUAUAUGAUCGAUUACUCCCUGUAAUAAUGCAUCUUUGACUUUGCAUAUCGAAAUGUAGGAACUAGUUAUUUUGGAAGAACUAGUUAUGUAGGAACAGUCUAUAUAAGGAUGUAUGUAGAUAUAUUUUAAAAUAUUUAUUUAUUUAUUUUGUUUCAUACGUACUCUGUAGUAAAAUCUUUAAAAGAUCUUAUAUUUAAAAACAGAGGAGGUUGAGUAUUGGUCAGAUGCUUAUAGUAGGCCUAAUUAAGUAGCUCAUUGUUUAUCACAUACAUGCAUCAACCUUUUGUUUGAGAAUCAUACGUGCAUGGAUGUUGCCCAGGUAAACCAAGACGCACGGUAGAAUCUGCCCACUGUUUAUCAUGUAUGUAAGCUGUCUCACAGCCAUCGAGCCUGGGCAAGUGCCCGGGGUGGUCGGGCGCUGGCUCCGCCACUGCCUACUUUCAUUGUUCUUUUCUGAGCCGAAUAGCUUAUGCUCUCAGAGUAUCAGGGAAAGAAUAUGUAAUUGUUUCUAUGGUAGUUGGCCUUCAUGUAUAUUUCAUACCGUAUCUCCGUAUGCCUUCUUUCUUGUGCAGUAAAUGUAAACAUAUAUGCUACAUUAUAAUAUUCUGUACCAGGUGCACGCACACUUUGCAUGCAUUUUUUACAUCAAGGUGAUUAGAAGCAGAAUAGACAAUUAUUCAGAGACGUAAAGAUUAGAAUAAAAAAAGAUUCACAUGUAUUUUAUCUGUACCUUCAUUAAGAGAAGUUGUAUGCUUUCUUAUGUUUGAUUAUUUGAAUUACCAGGAUGAUCUGAAGCACCCAGAAGAAGUAGAUGACAUGACGGGAGAAGGGAACAAGAAGCUUCGUUUAUCAUUGAUGUUAUGUUGUGAACUUGUUGGGCCUUGAACCUUUAUGUGUAGAGGAGUCGAUGAAUGAUGUAUUGUAAUUCAUGUGAUGUGUUACUGAAAUGAAAUAUAUACAACUAAUUUGCAA
Hordeum vulgare subsp. vulgare (domesticated barley) is the source of this 1829-nucleotide long non-coding RNA. RefSeq lists it as uncharacterized. NCBI's taxonomy places the organism in Eukaryota, Viridiplantae, Streptophyta, Magnoliopsida, Poales, Poaceae. The record is from RefSeq and is a predicted model, not a curated record. The transcript has 2 exons.